AUGGAGACCGACAGUCUGGAGAUUGUGAAUCUCUGGAACACUCGACACAACAGCCGCUCUGUUGUGGCACCAGUUUUCUUUGAAAUUGAUGAGCUAGCGGAUAGUUUCCACUCUUUUGUAAUCCAACAUGCUAGUAGAUCCGCAAACGGUCCAGCACACAUGUGUGCUCAGCGUGCAUGUAACGUGUCUGUAACCGAGAGUUGGCUCUCUUAGACUCCAAGUUUCCUGGUAAGUAGCCUAAUGGCUGACUGCCCGGCAAACACAUUUGUUUGA
Molecule: ribosomal RNA, 273 nt
Filed under: Triticum aestivum (bread wheat)
Lineage: Eukaryota; Viridiplantae; Streptophyta; Magnoliopsida; Poales; Poaceae
Description: partial small subunit ribosomal RNA
Source: RNAcentral